Molecule: ribosomal RNA, 251 nt
Filed under: uncultured bacterium
Lineage: Bacteria
Description: partial 16S ribosomal RNA
Rfam family: Bacterial small subunit ribosomal RNA
Source: RNAcentral
UACGAAGGGUGCGAGCGUUAUUCGGAAUCACUGGGCGUAAAGGGUGCGUAGACGGUAUGUUAAGUUUGUCGUUAAAGACUCUAGCCUAACUGGAGGGUUGCGAUGAAAACUGGCAAGCUAGAGGGUGAGAGAGAAGUGGAAUUCCUGGAGUAGCGGUAAAAUGCGUGGAUCUCAGGAGGAACACCAAUGGCGAAGGCAGCUUCUUGGCUCAUUCCAGACGUUGAGGCACGAAAGCGUGGGGAGCGAACAGG